UGGGGUAUAGCUCAGUGACAGAGUAUGCACUUAGCAUGUGUGAAGCCUGGGUUCAAUCCCCAGUACAUUAA
RNAcentral lists this transfer RNA (71 nucleotides) under Fukomys damarensis (Damara mole-rat). It matches the Rfam family "tRNA". Rfam says of the family: Transfer RNA (tRNA) molecules are approximately 80 nucleotides in length. Their secondary structure includes four short double-helical elements and three loops (D, anti-codon, and T loops). Further hydrogen bonds mediate the characteristic L-shaped molecular structure. tRNAs have two regions of fundamental functional importance: the anti-codon, which is responsible for specific mRNA codon recognition, and the 3' end, to which the tRNAs corresponding amino acid is attached (by aminoacyl-tRNA synthetases). tRNAs cope with the degeneracy of the genetic code in two manners: having more than one tRNA (with a specific anti-codon) for a particular amino acid; and 'wobble' base-pairing, i.e. permitting non-standard base-pairing at the 3rd anti-codon position. Lineage: Eukaryota; Metazoa; Chordata; Mammalia; Rodentia; Bathyergidae. The record is from Rfam by way of RNAcentral.